Non-coding RNA from Pelobates cultripes (western spadefoot toad), 276 nucleotides. Lineage: Eukaryota; Metazoa; Chordata; Amphibia; Anura; Pelobatidae. The record is from the annotation of a GenBank genome assembly.
GUUUUAAACAUAAUCUAUGCUGUGGCUCUGUCAUCUGUUCUGGCAAAAACAAUUACAGUUUUAGUAGCCUUUUUAGUUGUUAAGCCUGGGAGCAAAUUCAGGAUAUUUUUGAGAUCCAGGGUAUCCAUCUUUAUAGUUAUGUUCUGUUGCUUUGGUGAAGUUGUAAUCUGCUUGUGGUGGUUAACAUCCUGGCCUCCAUUCCCAGAUAAAGACUCAAAGACAGCAGUUGCUAAGCUAAUACUUCAUUGUAAUGUUGGUUAUUUUCUUUUGUUUUAU